RNAcentral lists this long non-coding RNA (904 nucleotides) under Malus domestica (apple). Its description in RNAcentral is "long non-coding RNA (MDOM_LNC013188)". The record is from RNAcentral. Lineage: Eukaryota; Viridiplantae; Streptophyta; Magnoliopsida; Rosales; Rosaceae.
AUCUAUUCAUUACCAAACAUUCACCCACGACACCCAUUACAUCCACUAAUUACCAAACAUCCAUCCACUACACCCAUUACAUCUACUCAUUACCAUAACAUACACCAUUACCACAUUAACUAGAUGGUGAUCCUCUCCCUAGCCUAUAAAUACAUCCACCCUUCACCAUAACAAAAGGGGAGGAGAUCCAUCCAAAGACACAUUCACAUGUACAGUUUAGGGAGAAGGGAGGAAGACACAUUUUGCCGCAAGGCAGAGUCUUUUCUUCUUAACCAUUCUACACAUUCCCACAACAAAAACACAAUUCUAUGCACCGUCAUUUCCCUUUCCUUGCCGUGACCUCCAUCCAACCUAAACACAUUCAGCCAUUCCUUUCCAUAUAUCCAUACGCAUCCAUCAAACCACACCUUGUGCUGCAACAAAGAGAAGAAGGAGGACCCUUGGACGUGCUUGCCAUUCAAGUUGGAUUGUUGGAGCGUUUUUAGGUGUUUUCAUUCUUUUGUUUUCAAUGUCUAAAAUUAUUUAUCUUUGCUUUGUGAGUAUGAGGAACUAAACCCCCCUUAGCUAGGGAGAAUUCGAAACCAUGUUCAUGCUUGCAAUAUGAUUUGAUUACUUUCAGUUGUGAUUCAUAAGUUGUGAAUUCAAUCUACUUAUCCAUUUGAAUUAAAACUGAUUUAUGUGUGUUGGUUGAGAGUGCACGCUUAAUUUUCAUGCAUAAAUCUGAUGCUAGGAUAUAAGGGAGUUUCACCUAAUCGUUAUGAACUUUUAUUCACAAGUAUUGAAGGUUGCUCUUCACAACCAGUGAAGGUUGCUCUUCACAACCGUGUUAAGUAAAUUAUUGGCAUAAGUUUCAUGCAAUUCAUAGUUACAAGUGUUUCGUCAAUGCUUAUGAUUUUCAUAGAAC